UGUGAGUCUUUGUACUAAAUAAGUCAAAACUUUCAACAACGGAUCUCUUGGUUCUGGCAUCGAUGAAGAACGCAGCGAAAUGCGAUAAGUAAUGUGAAUUGCAGAAUUCAGUGAAUCAUCGAAUCUUUGAACGCACAUUGCGCCCGCCAGUAUUCUGGCGGGCAUGCCUGUUCGAGCGUCAUUUCAACCAUCAAGCCCCCGGCUUGUGUUGGGGACCUGCGGCUGCCGCAGGCCCUGAAAACCAGUGGCGGGCUCGCUAGUCACUCCGAGCGUAGUAAUACAUCUCGCUCAGGGCGUGCUGCGGGUUCCGGCCGUUAAAAAGCCUUAUUUACCCAAGGUUGACCUCGGAUCAGGUAGGAAUACCCGCUGAACUUAAGCAUAUCAAAAGCGAGAAAGUUACG
RNAcentral lists this ribosomal RNA (401 nucleotides) under uncultured Ascomycota. RNAcentral describes it as "eukaryotic LSU rRNA". The stretch from base 28 to 181 matches the Rfam family "5.8S ribosomal RNA". Lineage: Eukaryota; Fungi; Ascomycota. The record is from RNAcentral.